Molecule: ribosomal RNA, 598 nt
Filed under: Boophis boppa (Boppa's bright-eyed treefrog)
Lineage: Eukaryota; Metazoa; Chordata; Amphibia; Anura; Mantellidae
Description: partial 16S ribosomal RNA
Rfam family: Bacterial large subunit ribosomal RNA (bases 1-412)
Source: RNAcentral
UUCAGUUUGACACCCCGAAACUAAGUGAGCUACUUUAAAAUAGCCCCCAGAGCCAAUCCGUCUCUGUUGCAAUAGAGUGGAGUAAUUUUUAAGUAGAGGUGAUAAACCUAUCGAACUUAGAGAUAGCUGGUUUUUUAAGAAAAGAAUUUUAGUUCAACCCUUAGUCUUAAAUUACAAAAAUAAUAAAAUUAGACUUAGGAGCUAUUCAAAUAAGGAACAACUUAUUUGAAUCAGGAUACAACCUAGGAUAUAGGGUAAGAUAAAUUAAAUUUUUAACAAGUAGGCCUAAAAGCAGCCAUCUUUAAAAAAGCGUCAAAGCUUAGUUCUAAAAAUUUUUUUAAUACCUACAACUUCUUCUAACCCUUAUUUACUAUUAAAAAAUACCAUAACAUUAUGGAAGCUAUUAUGCUAGAACAAGUAACAAGAAAAAGAUUUUUCUCCAAAAUGUAAGCUUAAGCCACAAUUAGACAAACUACCGGCAAUUAACGUUCGUAAACUAUUUUUAGCAACACCAACAAGAAAACACUACAUUUUUUUAAACGUCAACCUUACACUAGAGCAUUUAUGGAAAGAUUAAAAGAGUGGGAAGGAACUCGGC